RNAcentral lists this ribosomal RNA (468 nucleotides) under uncultured bacterium. RNAcentral's name for it is "partial 16S ribosomal RNA". It matches the Rfam family "Bacterial small subunit ribosomal RNA", at positions 28 to 507 of the family's 1533-position model. The record is from RNAcentral.
GACGAACGCUGGCGGCGUGCUUAACACAUGCAAGUCGAACGGAAAGGCCCUGCUUUUGUGGGGUGCUCGAGUGGCGAACGGGUGAGUAACACGUGAGCAACCUGCCCUUGACUUUGGGAUAACUUCAGGAAACUGGGGCUAAUACCGGAUAGGAGCUCCUGCUGCAUGGUGGGGGUUGGAAAGUUUCGGCGGUUGGGGAUGGACUCGCGGCUUAUCAGCUUGUUGGUGGGGUAGUGGCUUACCAAGGCUUUGACGGGUAGCCGGCCUGAGAGGGUGACCGGCCACAUUGGGACUGAGAUACGGCCCAGACUCCUACGGGAGGCAGCAGUGGGGAACAUUGCACAAUGGGCGGAAGCCUGAUGCAGCAACGCCGCGUGCGGGAUGACGGCCUUCGGGUUGUAAACCGCUUUCGCCUGUGACGAAGCGUGAGUGACGGUAAUGGGUAAAGAAGCACCGGCUAACUACGUG